Molecule: long non-coding RNA, 874 nt
Organism: Gastrolobium bilobum
Lineage: Eukaryota; Viridiplantae; Streptophyta; Magnoliopsida; Fabales; Fabaceae
Exons: 3
Source: RefSeq, a predicted model, not a curated record
GAAAAAGAAAUCUGUGUGAACACUUUCCUAUUGACUUAGAGCAAAAAUCCCUAUCGCCAUUAUCGCUCUUGUACGUUGAAUGGAUUUGGAGCAAAACUUGAAAAAGAAAAUGAAUGCUCUUUUUUUUAAAACAAAACAAAAAUCAAACACAGCCUCAUCAACUUCCUCAAAAUCGUAAGCUGUACCAGGAACAGAACCACCAUCUUGCUUCCAUCUCCUCCCUUUCCUUUGCUUGGCCGAGGACCUCAUUUAGGAAGUGAAGGAUUUUGCUGUUGUUUCCUUGUCUCCUCUACCAUGUUCGGCUGAUGAGGCUUUCCUCCAACAUGCAGAAUCACAGAUAAGUUCACAGCCAUCCUCCUUCUCUUUGUCCAGCCGAAGACAACCACCAUCAAGGAGUUGGAAAUCGGUCCUUGGAGAGGAGAUAAAUCCCCUGCAUGUGACUGCAGGCGUAAACCUUGGAGAGAAGAAGAGGUGCGCAAAUUCCCUAAGAGCGUGGUCUAUUCUUGUGCCGUUUGAUUGGUACUUGGCUGUUUAAUUGAUGCUUGGACUCACAAGGUGGAUGUAGCGGUGCUGAAGUCUUGAGCAAGAGGCUCACAGGUUGAGGAUGAGGAGCACAUGUUUGAAUGCAUGAUUAUAUAUGUCAUUUUGCAUUUUGGAAUGUAUUUGAUAGGUUAGACUUAGUGCAUGAACAUUGUGUAUAGCAUGAGUUAUGUAUACCAUCCGUGUUCUUGUUCAUAUAGCAUUAUUUUGGCAAGUCUAGUAUAGAUGUAAUUAUUGCCAUUUCAAGCCUUUUGAUGUAGUAGUUAUAUUUGUGAUGGAUAAAUGUAAUUAAAGAAGCAUGGAUCUUGUGUCAAGUAAUGAUGUAUGUAUGUGA